RNAcentral lists this ribosomal RNA (443 nucleotides) under uncultured bacterium. RNAcentral's name for it is "SSU rRNA". It matches the Rfam family "Bacterial small subunit ribosomal RNA", at positions 26 to 518 of the family's 1533-position model. The record is from RNAcentral.
AGAACGAACGCUGGCGGCAGGCUUAACACAUGCAAGUCGAGCGCCCCGCAAGGGGAGCGGCAGACGGGUGAGUAACGCGUGGGAACAUACCCUCCGGUUCGGAAUAGCUCAGGGAAACUUGGAUUAAUACCGGAUACGGCCUAGCGGCGAAAGAUUCAUCGCCGGAGGAUUGGCCCGCGUUCGAUUAGCUAGUUGGUGAGGUAACGGCUCACCAAGGCGACGAUCGAUAGCUGGUCUGAGAGGAUGAUCAGCCACAUUGGGACUGAGACACGGCCCAAACUCCUACGGGAGGCAGCAGUGGGGAAUAUUGGACAAUGGGCGCAAGCCUGAUCCAGCCAUGCCGCGUGAGUGAUGACGGCCUUAGGGUUGUAAAGCUCUUUCACCCACGACGAUAAUGACGGUAGUGGGAGAAGAAGCCCGGCUAACUUCGUGCCAGCAGCCGC